This 829-nucleotide long non-coding RNA is filed under the name Heterocephalus glaber (naked mole-rat). Its description in RNAcentral is "lncRNA (ENSHGLG00100049878.1)". Lineage: Eukaryota; Metazoa; Chordata; Mammalia; Rodentia; Bathyergidae. The record is from RNAcentral.
GUGGUGGUGGUGGGGUGACAGGAAAGAAUAAAAAGCUCAGCAGCUCAACACAGAGAAGCACCUCCCCUCCCACGGUGAAGGUGUAAAGCAGAAGGCUGGCCAAGGACCAAGGUCCCAGCAAAUGAUGCUGGGAGAAGGCACGCGUCUGAGAGUACACAAGUUCCUGCUGAACCAACUGUGUCCCCAGUUCUUGCUUCAAGAAAAUGUGAAACUCUGCACGAGGAUGCUAGCACGUACGAUUCCUGGCUUCUUGGGAAAUCUCACGCACAAAACUGCCUUUCUCCUCUGCACUGACCGAAUCCACAGUGAGACACCGUGAGGGACAAACUCAGGGAUCGAACUUGGGUCCUUGCACUUGCGCAGCAGGCGGCGAAACCACUAAGCUAAAUCCCCGGCCCAGAUGAAUUCUUAAGAAGUGCUUCAAAAUGUACAUGUCAAGUGGGUUUUUCUUUGCUUUUUUCUUGUUUGGUACUAGGGGAUUGAAUCCAGGGCCUUCCUAUUGAGCUACAUCUCCACCCUUCAAAAUAAUUUUUAAGUUUUGAGACAGCAUCUCACUAAAUUGUUAAAUUGCCUAGGCUGAUCUUGAACUUGUAAUCCUCCUGCCUCAGCCUCCUAGAGUGCUGCAAUCACAGGCAUGUGCCACCUUGCCCAGCUAACUAACUCUUUCUUAACAGACUCCUUAACUUACUUUCUAAAUCUGACUUACAACUAACAGGCAGAUCAUCCUAUAUAUAAUUAUUUCAUUUUACAGGUGAAAUUUGGAGGAAGGAUGGGAGAAAAAAGGAAAGAUUUCCAUUUCCUUUUAUUUAAAUUUGCAAUUCAUUUCUAU